RNAcentral lists this ribosomal RNA (776 nucleotides) under Streptomyces sp. RNAcentral's name for it is "bacterial SSU rRNA". It matches the Rfam family "Bacterial small subunit ribosomal RNA", at positions 68 to 859 of the family's 1533-position model. The record is from RNAcentral. Lineage: Bacteria; Bacillati; Actinomycetota; Actinomycetes; Kitasatosporales; Streptomycetaceae.
GAUGAAGCCCUUCGGGGUGGAUUAGUGGCGAACGGGUGAGUAACACGUGGGCAAUCUGCCCUGCACUCUGGGACAAGCCCUGGAAACGGGGUCUAAUACCGGAUACGACUUUCGGAGGCAUCUCUGAAGGUGGAAAGCUCCGGCGGUGCAGGAUGAGCCCGCGGCCUAUCAGCUUGUUGGUGGGGUGAUGGCCUACCAAGGCGACGACGGGUAGCCGGCCUGAGAGGGCGACCGGCCACACUGGGACUGAGACACGGCCCAGACUCCUACGGGAGGCAGCAGUGGGGAAUAUUGCACAAUGGGCGAAAGCCUGAUGCAGCGACGCCGCGUGAGGGAUGACGGCCUUCGGGUUGUAAACCUCUUUCAGCAGGGAAGAAGCGAAAGUGACGGUACCUGCAGAAGAAGCGCCGGCUAACUACGUGCCAGCAGCCGCGGUAAUACGUAGGGCGCAAGCGUUGUCCGGAAUUAUUGGGCGUAAAGAGCUCGUAGGCGGCUUGUCGCGUCGGAUGUGAAAGCCCGGGGCUUAACCCCGGGUCUGCAUUCGAUACGGGCAGGCUAGAGUUCGGUAGGGGAGAUCGGAAUUCCUGGUGUAGCGGUGAAAUGCGCAGAUAUCAGGAGGAACACCGGUGGCGAAGGCGGAUCUCUGGGCCGAUACUGACGCUGAGGAGCGAAAGCGUGGGGAGCGAACAGGAUUAGAUACCCUGGUAGUCCACGCCGUAAACGUUGGGAACUAGGUGUGGGCGACAUUCCACGUCGUCCGUGCCGCAGCUAACGCA